UCGGGAAAUCAUUCAGCUAUCCUUUUUCUCUCAACCUGAUGGCCCAGUGAUUGGAAAUGGCUCCUUUAAAUCGUCAUUCUUAUUUCCAGGUAUAAAAGAAGGAUUUUAUCUAGGUCCACCACCGAAAGAUAAGCUUCUCAAGAAUUCUACACAAGGUUCUGUAUUGUUAGGGGCAAUUUCGUAUGGAAAACUGUCAUUUUCUGAGGGGGAGAAUAAAAAUCUAGAAAAGCACCUUGCAUCAUAUCAACUAAUAAUACACAAGGUUCUGUAUUGUUAGUGAUUAAAUGUUUGUUCUAAA
Molecule: long non-coding RNA, 298 nt
Organism: Arachis duranensis
Lineage: Eukaryota; Viridiplantae; Streptophyta; Magnoliopsida; Fabales; Fabaceae
Exons: 3
Source: RefSeq, a predicted model, not a curated record